GACGAACGCUGGCGGCGUGCCUAAUACAUGCAAGUAGAACGCUGAAGGAGGAGCUUGCUUCUCUGGAUGAGUUGCGAACGGGUGAGUAACGCGUAGGUAACCUGCCUGGUAGCGGGGGAUAACUAUUGGAAACGAUAGCUAAUACCGCAUAAUAGUAGAUGUCGCAUGACAUUUGCUUAAAAGGUGCAAUUGCAUCACUACCAGAUGGACCUGCGUUGUAUUAGCUAGUUGGUGAGGUAACGGCUCACCAAGGCAACGAUACAUAGCCGACCUGAGAGGGUGAUCGGCCACACUGGGACUGAGACACGGCCCAGACUCCUACGGGAGGCAGCAGUAGGGAAUCUUCGGCAAUAGACGGAAGUCUGACCGAGCAACGCCGCGUGAGUGAAGAAGGUUUUCGGAUCGUAAAGCUCUGUUGUAAGAGAAGAACGAGUGUGAGAGUGGAAAGUUCACACUGUGACGGUAUCUUACCAGAAAGGGACGGCUAACUACGUG
RNAcentral lists this ribosomal RNA (495 nucleotides) under uncultured bacterium. RNAcentral's name for it is "partial 16S ribosomal RNA". It matches the Rfam family "Bacterial small subunit ribosomal RNA", at positions 28 to 507 of the family's 1533-position model. The record is from RNAcentral.